UCAUUAAGUGAAUACAUAGCUUAAUGAGGGGAACUCAGGGAACUGAAACAUCUAAGUACCUGAAGGAAGAGAAAGAAAUUCGAUUCCGUAAGUAGCGGCGAGCGAACGCGGAUUAGCCCAAACCAAUAAAGUUUUCUUUAUUGGGGUUGCGGACAUAUCAUAACGAAGAGGUAGCGUAAUUGAAGAGGUUUGGAAAGACCCACCACAGAAGGUAAUAGUCCUGUAUGUUAAACGAGAAGACUU
This 243-nucleotide ribosomal RNA is filed under the name Clostridioides difficile. RNAcentral's name for it is "partial 23S ribosomal RNA". It matches the Rfam family "Bacterial large subunit ribosomal RNA", at positions 150 to 395 of the family's 2925-position model. Lineage: Bacteria; Bacillati; Bacillota; Clostridia; Peptostreptococcales; Peptostreptococcaceae. The record is from RNAcentral.